RNAcentral lists this ribosomal RNA (971 nucleotides) under uncultured archaeon. RNAcentral describes it as "SSU rRNA". It matches the Rfam family "Archaeal small subunit ribosomal RNA", at positions 474 to 1337 of the family's 1478-position model. The record is from RNAcentral.
CACCUGCGCCACAAGUGGCAAUCGUUAUUAUUGGGCCUAAAGCGUCCGUAGCAGGUCUUGUAAAUCUCAUGUGAAAUUGUUGCGCUCAACGUAACAGCGUGCAAGAGACACUGCGAGACUAGGGACCGGGAGGAGUCAGAGGUAUUCAAUGGGGAGCGGUAAAAUGCUAUAAUCCAUUGAGGACCACCUAUGGCGAAGGCAUCUGACCAGAACGGAUCCGACUGUGAGGGACGAAAGCUAGGGGAGCGAACCGGAUUAGAUACUUUGGAUUUUCUGCAUAGCGACGAUAAGAAAACAGAUACACGUUCGUGUUAACUCAUACUGUGAAUCUGUCAACAGAGACAAUAAAUGGAAAUUCAGGGCUAAUUACCCGAGUAGUCCUAGCUGUAAACGCUGCGAGCUAGGUGUUGCGCAAUCUUCGAGAUUGCGCAGUAUCGAAGCGAAGGCGAUAAGCUCGCCGCCUGGGAAGUACGGUCGCAAGGCUGAAACUUAAAGGAAUUGGCGGGGGAGCACUACAAGGGGUGCGGCGUGCGGUUUAAUCUAACUCCACUCAGAGAAUCUCACCAGAAGCGACGGCACUAUGAAAGUCAGAUUAAAGGUUUUACUUGAGGAGCCGAGAGGUGGUGCAUGGCCGCCGUCAGCUCGUGCCGUGAGGUGUCCAGCUAAGCCUGGUAACGAGCGAGACCUGCGUCUACAAUUGCUAACGGAUGCUUUAGCAUGACUGAGCACAUUGUAGGGACUGCCUUGGAAACGAGGAGGAAGGUGCAGGCUACGGUAGGUCUGUAUGCCCCGAAUCUUCUGGGCUACACGCGCGCAACAAUGGUAAGGACAAUGGGAUACGACUCCGAAAGGAGAAGUUAAUCCUCCAAACCUUAUCCAAGUCCAGAUUGAGGGUUGUAACCCACCCUCAUGACGCUGGAAUCCCUAGUAAUCGGGUGUUAUCAGCGCCCGGUGAAUACGUCCCUGCUCCU